This 88-nucleotide small RNA is filed under the name Kaistella chaponensis. Its description in RNAcentral is "Chryseobacterium chaponense Flavo-1 RNA". It matches the Rfam family "Flavo-1 RNA". Lineage: Bacteria; Pseudomonadati; Bacteroidota; Flavobacteriia; Flavobacteriales; Weeksellaceae. The record is from RNAcentral.
UUCUAGCCCGGAUAGAAACGGCAUCCUUUUUUUUCGCGUUGGCUUUAGGGAAGGCAAAAAAAAGAUAUAGUGGAUAGCCGGACCGGUU